RNAcentral lists this ribosomal RNA (489 nucleotides) under uncultured bacterium. Its description in RNAcentral is "partial 16S ribosomal RNA". It matches the Rfam family "Bacterial small subunit ribosomal RNA", at positions 30 to 506 of the family's 1533-position model. The record is from RNAcentral.
AUUGAACGCUGGCGGCAGGCCUAACACAUGCAAGUCGAACGGUAACAGGAAGAAGCUUGCUUCUUUGCUGACGAGUGGCGGACGGGUGAGUAAUGUCUGGGAAACUGCCUGAUGGAGGGGGAUAACUACUGGAAACGGUAGCUAAUACCGCAUAACGUCGCAAGACCAAAGAGGGGGACCUUCGGGCCUCUUGCCAUCGGAUGUGCCCAGAUGGGAUUAGCUAGUAGGUGGGGUAACGGCUCACCUAGGCGACGAUCCCUAGCUGGUCUGAGAGGAUGACCCGCCACACUGGAGCUGAGACACGGUCCAGACUCCUACGGGAGGCAGCAGUGGGGAAUAUUGCACAAUGGGCGCAAGCCUGAUGCAGCCAUGCCGCGUGUAUGAAGAAGGCCUUCGGGUUGUAAAGUACUUUCAGCGGGGAGGAAGGGAGUAAAGUUAAUACCUUUGCUCAUUGACGUUACCCGCAGAAGAAGCACCGGCUAACUCCGU